UUUGACUAAGUCUCCACCUAACUCUUCUAAUCCUAAUUCACUCAUUCUCACAUCUCUCUAUCUACUCUCACCCUCACUUGCACGAUCAGUCUUCAACAAAAGAAAAAGAACAAAACAAAAAAUAAAGUUCAUCAAGAACUUGAAUGCUAAAACUCAAAAGCAAAGAUAUUCUAAAAACGAAAACAAAAAGGGGUUCCUCGACGGUUUGUGCUUGAAGUUUCGGUGGCGAGGCAUGGUUUUGUGGGAAAUUUGCAGCAUUAAAACAAGUGUUGAAAGACAUUAAGGUGCAGAUGCAGCUGUACGUUAGAGAUUACGAGUUGACGCAGAAGUUACCCGAACGUGGAGCUUUUAUUCGGAUAUGGUAGGCCCUCAUGCUUUUGAGGAUGCUUACUGAUUUAUUAUAGCGUAGACGUAGGCAUGAGCUAGUGGCGUAUGUUCCACUAGCAUUUCUUUCGUAUUUACUUUCAGACGUUAUAUUGGUGCCAUUUUGGCAACUCUAUAUUUAUGACUAUAUCUUUCAUUUGAUUA
Solanum pennellii is the source of this 528-nucleotide long non-coding RNA. RefSeq lists it as uncharacterized. The transcript is spliced from 2 exons. NCBI's taxonomy places the organism in Eukaryota, Viridiplantae, Streptophyta, Magnoliopsida, Solanales, Solanaceae. The record is from RefSeq and is a predicted model, not a curated record.